Molecule: non-coding RNA, 242 nt
Filed under: Corvus brachyrhynchos (American crow)
Lineage: Eukaryota; Metazoa; Chordata; Aves; Passeriformes; Corvidae
Description: Eukaryotic small subunit ribosomal RNA
Rfam family: Eukaryotic small subunit ribosomal RNA
Source: Rfam by way of RNAcentral
UCAUUGAGAAGCCUGAUACAUUUUUUUGAAGAAAUUGAAGGGUUCAAAGCUGGCUAGCCAACAGGACACUCCAGCUGGGAAUAACAGAAUAGGACUCUAGGCCUUUUUUUGUUGUUUUUUGGAAGCAGGGUCAUAAUUAAGAGCAAUGGCUGGGGACAUUCAUAUUGUGACACUUGAAUUGAAAUUCUUGGACCAGUCCAAGGUGGCCUAAAACAAAAGCAUUUGCCAAGAAUGUUGUCAUU